UACGUAGGGUGCGAGCGUUGUCCGGAAUUAUUGGGCGUAAAGAGCUCGUAGGCGGUGUGUCGCGUCGGCCGUGAAAACCUGCAGCUUAACUGUGGGCUUGCGGUCGAUACGGGCAUCACUGGAGUUCGGCAGGGGAGACUGGAAUUCCUGGUGUAGCGGUGAAAUGCGCAGAUAUCAGGAGGAACACCGGUGGCGAAGGCGGGGCUCUGGGCCGAUACUGACGCUGAGGAGCGAAAGCGUGGGGAGCGAACAGG
This 254-nucleotide ribosomal RNA is filed under the name uncultured bacterium. Its description in RNAcentral is "partial 16S ribosomal RNA". It matches the Rfam family "Bacterial small subunit ribosomal RNA", at positions 524 to 776 of the family's 1533-position model. The record is from RNAcentral.